RNAcentral lists this ribosomal RNA (404 nucleotides) under uncultured bacterium. RNAcentral describes it as "bacterial SSU rRNA". It matches the Rfam family "Bacterial small subunit ribosomal RNA", at positions 358 to 774 of the family's 1533-position model. The record is from RNAcentral.
GGAAUAUUGGGCAAUGGAGGAAACUCUUACCCAGCAAUGCCGCGUUAGGGAUGGAGGUCCUAUGGAUUGUAAACCUCUUUGAUUAGGGACAAAGAAAGUGAUGGUACCUAAAGAACAAGCCCCGGCUAACUAUGUGCCAGCAGCCGCGGUAAUACAUAGGGGGCGAGCGUUGUCCGGAAUGACUGGGCGUAAAGGGCGUGUAGGCGGUUAGGUAAGUUAGAAGUGUAAUACCCAGGGCUUAACUCGGGUGCUGCUUCUAAUACUGCUUGACUUGAGUGUCGGAGAGGAUAGUGGAAUUCCCAGUGUAGCGGUGGAAUGCAUAGAUAUUGGGAGGAACACCAGAGGCGAAAGCGGCUAUCUGGACGACAACUGACGCUGAGGCACGAAAGCGUGGGGAGCAAACA